GCCGAAGUGGCGAAACUGGUAGACGCAGUUGAUUCAAAAUCAACCACCGAUAGGUAUGCCGGUUCGAUUCCGGCCUUCGGCACCA
Molecule: transfer RNA, 85 nt
Filed under: Candidatus Erwinia haradaeae
Lineage: Bacteria; Pseudomonadati; Pseudomonadota; Gammaproteobacteria; Enterobacterales; Erwiniaceae
Description: transfer RNA Leucine
Rfam family: tRNA
About the family: Transfer RNA (tRNA) molecules are approximately 80 nucleotides in length. Their secondary structure includes four short double-helical elements and three loops (D, anti-codon, and T loops).
Source: RNAcentral